CGUUGGAGAGUUUGAUCCUGGCUCAGGACGAACGCUGGCGGCGUGCUUAAUGCAUGCAAGUCGAACGAGGCCCCACCGACGGGUAACCGUCGCGGGGUCCUAGUGGCGAACGGGUGAGUAACACGUGAGGAACCUGCCCCGGAGUCCGGGAUAGCCCAGGGAAACCUGGAUUAAUACCGGAUGCCCUCGGUCAGUCGCAUGUCCGAUCGAGGAAAAGUCCGCUGCUCCGGGAUGGCCUCGCGGCCUAUCAGCUUGUUGGUGAGGUAACGGCUCACCAAGGCAACGACGGGUAGCUGGUCUGAGAGGACGAACAGCCACACUGGGACUGAGACACGGCCCAGACUCCUACGGGAGGCAGCAGCAGGGAAUAUUGCACAAUGGGCGAAAGCCUGAUGCAGCGACGCCGCGUGAGGGAUGAAGGCCUCCGGGUCGUAAACCUCUUUCAGGAGGGACGAAGCGCAAGUGACGGUACCUCCAGAAGAAGCCCCGGCCAACUACGUGCCAGCAGCCGCGGUAAUACGUAGGGGGCAAGCGUUGUCCGGAUUCAUUGGGCGUAAAGAGCUCGUAGGCGGCUCGGUAAGUCGGCCGUGAAAUCCCGGGGCUCAACUCCGGGAGGCCGGUCGAUACUGCCGUGGCUAGGGUCCGGUAGAGGAGAGUGGAAUUCCCGGUGUAGCGGUGAAAUGCGCAGAUAUCGGGAGGAACACCAGUAGCGAAGGCGGCUCUCUGGGCCGGUACCGACGCUGAGGAGCGAAAGCUAGGGGAGCAAACAGGAUUAGAUACCCUGGUAGUCCUAGCCGUAAACGUUGGGCACUAGGUGUGGCGGAUUGAUUGACAUCUGCCGUGCCGCAGCUAACGCAUUAAGUGCCCCGCCUGGGGAGUACGGUCGCAAGGCUAGAACUCAAAGGAAUUGACGGGGCCCCGCACAAGCGGCGGAGCAUGCGGCUCAAUUCGAUGAAACCCGAAGAACCUCACCUGGACUUGACAUCACGGGAAAAGCCGUGGAAACACGGUGUGCGUAAGCGUCCGUGACAGGUGGUGCAUGGCUGUCGUCAGCUCGUGUCGUGAGAUGUUGGGUUAAGUCCCGCAACGAGCGCAACCCCUGUCCUAUGUUGCCAGCGGAUCAUGCCGGGGACUCAUAGGAGACUGCCGGGGACAACUCGGAGGAAGGCGGGGAUGACGUCAAGUCAUCAUGCCCCUUAUGUCCAGGGCUGCACGCAUGCUACAAUGGCGAGUACAACGGGCUGCGAUCCCGCGAGGGGGAGCCAAUCCCUUAAAACUCGUCUCAGUUCGGAUUGGAGUCUGCAACUCGACUCCAUGAAGCCGGAGUCGCUAGUAAUCGCGGAUCAGCUAUGCCGCGGUGAAUACGUUCUCGGGGCUUGUACACACCGCCCGUCACAUCACGAAAGUCGGCAACACCCGAAGUCAGUGGCCCAACCCCUCGGGGAGGGAGCUGCCGAAGGUGGGGUCGGCGAUUGGGAUGAAGUCGUAACAAGGUAGCCGUACGGGAACGUGCGGCUGGAUCACCUCCUUUCUAAGGAGC
This 1540-nucleotide ribosomal RNA is filed under the name Actinomycetota bacterium. Its description in RNAcentral is "bacterial SSU rRNA". It matches the Rfam family "Bacterial small subunit ribosomal RNA". Lineage: Bacteria; Bacillati; Actinomycetota. The record is from RNAcentral.